Molecule: unclassified non-coding RNA, 1066 nt
Filed under: Leishmania donovani
Lineage: Eukaryota; Euglenozoa; Kinetoplastea; Trypanosomatida; Trypanosomatidae
Description: gene:LdHU3.29.0120(CDS-product:small_GTP-binding_ protein_putative)
Source: RNAcentral
GAAAAGGAAGCUCAACCACUUCGCUGACGUGUUUGCCUCGUCGCCUCGCUUUGCAGCUCUUUUCGGCGUCCUCAUUUUCCGGACUCUUCAUCUGAGCGGCGCCCUCGUGAUUCUCACUCACACCCAUCCUUCUGCGCAUAGCUUGUACGUGUUUGCACGCCUGUGGCGGCCACCGUAGAUCCUCUUCGAAUACUCGCGCACUCUUCUUCGCCUCUCUGCGCAGAUUCGCUCACAUGGUGCUCCUGCGCCUCCGCGUCGCCGUGGUCGGUGAGCCGACUUCCGGCAAAACGGCAUUUGUUCAGAUGGUGCAUAGCAACGGUACGGUAUUCCCCAAGAACUAUCUCAUGACAAUGGGGUGCGACUUUGUCGUAAAAGAGUUUGCGCUGGACGACGACAACACGGUCGAGGUGUCGCUCCUGGACGUGGCGGGGCAGCGGCUGUAUGAUCGCAUGACAUCUCACUAUCUAGAGAGCGUGUCUGCCUUUAUUCUCGUGUAUGACGUGUCAAACAAGGCAACGUUCGAGUCGUGUCGAAAGUGGGUGACCAAGGCGCGGACUGCGAAGAAGGACAUGAUCGGCUUCCUUGUGGGGAACAAGAUGGACCUCGCUGACAAGGCCGAGGUCACGGACAACCAAGCGGAGGUUUUUGCACGCGCUAAUCAACUUACCUUUUUCAAGUGCUCUGCACUGCGCGGCACGGGCACGGUAGAGCCCGUAGAGAGGCUCUCGCGCAUGUUCCUGGAGGAGUAUCAGAAGAGACUGGCUCAGCUGUCACAGCUCAGCGCAAGCAAGUGACGGGCAGGCACCGCCUUCAGUGCAUUGCUACACACACACACACACUACCUCAUCGAGCCUUGCUUUUCCACUGCGAUUGGAAUUGGUAGGGUUGACAAGAGAGGUUUGUGCGGCGGCCAGCACUGCGGCGAGAGCCUACCACGCAUCUAGAUUCCCGCUUCUCGCUGAGGCCUUUCCCUGCAGGCAUCAAUCUCUCUUCUUCCUCGUGUGUGAGGAUGCCGAUGUGCAAUACUGUAGACCGUUGAACACUACCCGCGAAAGGUGGGGAGAAG